GCACCCUAACGACCACAAAUCUA
Molecule: non-coding RNA, 23 nt
Filed under: Arabidopsis thaliana (thale cress)
Lineage: Eukaryota; Viridiplantae; Streptophyta; Magnoliopsida; Brassicales; Brassicaceae
Source: RNAcentral